RNAcentral lists this transfer RNA (72 nucleotides) under Ovis aries (sheep). It matches the Rfam family "tRNA". From Rfam's summary of the family: Transfer RNA (tRNA) molecules are approximately 80 nucleotides in length. Their secondary structure includes four short double-helical elements and three loops (D, anti-codon, and T loops). Lineage: Eukaryota; Metazoa; Chordata; Mammalia; Artiodactyla; Bovidae. The record is from Rfam by way of RNAcentral.
UCCCUGGUGGCUCAGCUGGUGAAGCAUCCGCCUACAAUGUGGGAGAUCCUGGUUUGAUUCCUGGGUAGGGAA